UACUCUGCCACGUGAGGACGCUCAUCCCUC
Molecule: non-coding RNA, 30 nt
Filed under: Homo sapiens (human)
Lineage: Eukaryota; Metazoa; Chordata; Mammalia; Primates; Hominidae
Source: RNAcentral